AAGUCGUAACAAGGUUUCCGUAGGUGAACCUGCGGAAGGAUCAUUAAAAAAAUUUAUCCUAAAUUUUGGAUUCUACCCCAAAUGUGAUAAUUAUUGGCCUUGAAAACUUGGGGAUUAAAAAUGUCGGGAUGAAGCCGAAAGGUUUUGUUCAAACGACCCCGAAUUCAUCAAAACUCGCUUUAAAAUUUGACUGAAAAUAUAUAAUUUUAUAUAAUUAUCAAUUUGAUAAUCAAAUAAAACUUUCAACAACGGAUCUCUUGGUUCUC
Molecule: unclassified non-coding RNA, 266 nt
Filed under: fungal sp.
Lineage: Eukaryota; Fungi
Description: partial internal transcribed spacer region
Rfam family: Eukaryotic small subunit ribosomal RNA (bases 1-46)
Source: RNAcentral